AUUGAACGCUGGCGGCAGGCCUAACACAUGCAAGUCGGGCGAGCGGCGGACGGGUGGGUAAUGAAUGGGGAUCUGCCUGAGGGAGGGGGAUAACUACUGGAAACGGAAGCUAAUACCGCGUACCAUAGGAGGAGCCCAAGUGGGAGUAGGUAGUUGGGGAGGUAAAGGCGCACCAAGCCGACGAUCUCUAGAUGGUCUGAGAGGAUGACCAUCCACACUGGGACUGGUACACGGCCCAGACUCCUACGGGAGGCAGCAGUGGGGCAUAUUGCGCAAUGGGGGCAACCUGACGCAGCCAUGCCGGGUGAAUGAAGAAGGCCUUCGGGUUGUACAGUUCUUUCGGUAGCGAGGCGUUAACUACAGAAGAAGCACCGGCUAACUCCGUGCCAGCCGCCGCGGUAAUAC
RNAcentral lists this ribosomal RNA (405 nucleotides) under uncultured bacterium. RNAcentral describes it as "partial 16S ribosomal RNA". It matches the Rfam family "Bacterial small subunit ribosomal RNA", at positions 29 to 526 of the family's 1533-position model. The record is from RNAcentral.